CAGCUGUAGAAGUGCCCUGCAAUUCUGGCAAUGGUCUGAUGCAACCAGAACCAGAAAUGACAGUCUCUGCCAUGAAUCCUUUGUUCACUUCUGAUUUCCCACCUUUGAAGAAGCAGAUCACUGAACCACUUGAUAAUUGUUCUGUGGGAGGAUAUCAUGGCACUGAGGAUUCACUUAUUGAUGGCUUUGAAGAUAGUGGUUUGAGGGGUGUCCAUUCUUGUUCGACUGUUUGGGAGCUGGCUGUCCAAAAAGUGCAAUCCCCUUGUCCAUCAGGAUCAGAAGGCAAGCAGAUUGCAGAGGCAACUCUAGUUAUGGCAGGAAGUAGUCAUCAAAACAACUCUAUUCUUAUAGAAAGUGGUGAGGCAGAAAAAAUGGAAGUAGAUACUGGAGAAGAGCAAGAUAUUGCAGACAGUGGGACAGCUCAGUGCCAAUUUCCCUCAGAACUUCAGGUCCCUGACUCAGAUGAAAGAUUGCCUGGUACAGAUGUGGAGAAUGAUAGUUGUCAACAUAUAAAGAAUGAUUUACCUUCUAUGUCGAGCUAUUUGUCUUCAUUAGGAGAUGGUAAGGAAGUUUCUGCUACCAACUCCAGUGGUGCAGUUAUGGGGCUUGUGUCUGAUACAUUGCCUGAUAUGCUGAGCACAUCGCACAUCCAACUUUCCAUUGAAAAGGGUGGUGGGGAUGAUGAAAUCCUACUUGGGAAGCGUGCAAUUAAAGGUGGUUCUAACAUAUCCGUUGUUACUUCUGGUUCACCAAAUACUGAAAUUAAUUUUAACUCAGACCAUGGAGUAGAAAAUGAUCACUCAUUUAGUGGCAAAACCGGACUUUUGCCAUCACAGGAUUCCAUAAAUAGUACUCAAAUGGGGAAUACCAUGAGUGGAGAAGUAUAUGG
RNAcentral lists this unclassified non-coding RNA (889 nucleotides) under Hevea brasiliensis (rubber tree). Lineage: Eukaryota; Viridiplantae; Streptophyta; Magnoliopsida; Malpighiales; Euphorbiaceae. The record is from RNAcentral.